CCUCACAUGCCCUCCAGCACGGCUCAGAUACACUCCUCACAUCUCCUCCCUUCACCUCCCACCUUCGUGGAAGGGCUUUGUUGGCUACUCCAGACAAUCCGGGGCAUUGUGAUUGCACACACUCAGAGAACCUAGCAAGGUGAACUAAGAAGGAAGCCUCCUGAAGAGCGCUCCCGUGGUUAAGCUACGGAUAUGGAGACUUAAGUUCUAACCACUGAGUAAGCCACUUACUUCAUAGAAAGGUCCGUCUGCAAAUGAGAAUUGUGAUUCCCGCCUCCUAAGAUUCACGUGAAGGUUGAAUGAGAGACUGCUAGCCUCCUGAUGCACUUCCAACUUGAGAGAUUUGUUCUGUACCUUACUCCUCCCUGUUCUUCCCACGAGGCUUUGUUGGGGUAGAAGAGGCUUUCAACGAUCCAAUGAGCUCUCUUUGGAAGGACAUGGGGAUCAGACUGUUGUAUAACACAGACAAUGGCAAAAUGUGGAAUCAUCCAAAAAUUUACCAGCGAGCCACAGAAAUCCUUACUUAGUCAAUAUAAUUGAAGAAUGAAAGAUCAGAACAAGUCAACGUAUUCGUUGGGUGAUCAUACAGAAGGCACAAAUCACCUGCACACCAGCAGUUUACCUAAAGCCUAAAUACGGUCAAAGGUCCCAUCUCUGGAGAGCACAUCGGACAUUUGUGACCCUGACUCAGAGAGCAUGAGAGCAAAGGUCAGCUGCGGAAGGACAGGGGUCUCUCAACGGAUGCUGACUCUGGGUUCCUCCCUGUGACAGAGAGGUCUAUUUCCAGGAGUUGCUGAUAUUACGUUUUCCUGUUAACUUGAACUUCUUUAUUAGAUCAGACUAUAUAUGAGAUAUACAGUAUGGCCGUUUUUGUAAAUCAAAAAUUGUAAAGAUAAGCAGUUUUAUACGAUCGCACCGAUUUUUUUUUUUUGUAUUGAUGCAACAUUCAAAACCAUUUGACUUCUCCAGUGGUCCAAACCUCGUUGUCCAAUACUGCCACCCGAAAACACUUAGAGAACAUGGGGAGGCGAGGUGCGGGUGGGGGGAGCCAAAGGAUCCUUGAUGUGCAAUCAAUGGCAUGCUGGUAAGUAAAAUCGUGUAGGGGAGGGGCAACUCUGAGGGAGCAGGGCAACUCUGACUGGUCAAUGUAUGUGUAAUGCUUCCUCCUCCUGUGUCCAAGUCAGUGUGUCCCCUCAAGGUCACUGAACAGAGUUAGACACACAUGUUUGCUGU
Molecule: long non-coding RNA, 1233 nt
Organism: Mus musculus (house mouse)
Lineage: Eukaryota; Metazoa; Chordata; Mammalia; Rodentia; Muridae
Product: predicted gene, 33253
Exons: 4
Source: RefSeq, a predicted model, not a curated record